Molecule: ribosomal RNA, 469 nt
Filed under: uncultured bacterium
Lineage: Bacteria
Description: partial 16S ribosomal RNA
Rfam family: Bacterial small subunit ribosomal RNA
Source: RNAcentral
GACGAACGCUGGCGGCGUGCUUAACACAUGCAAGUCGAACGGAAAGGCCCUGCUUGCAGGGUGCUCGAGUGGCGAACGGGUGAGUAACACGUGGGUGAUCUGCCCCUUACUUUGGGAUAAGCCUGGGAAACUGGGUCUAAUACUGGAUAGGACCAUGCUGUAGGUGGUGUGGUGGAAAGAUUAGUUUCGGUAAGGGAUGAGCUCGCGGCCUAUCAGCUUGUUGGUGGGGUAAUGGCCUACCAAGGCGUCGACGGGUAGCCGGCCUGAGAGGGUGGACGGCCACAUUGGGACUGAGAUACGGCCCAGACUCCUACGGGAGGCAGCAGUGGGGAAUAUUGCACAAUGGGCGCAAGCCUGAUGCAGCGAGGCCGCGUGGGGGAUGACGGCCUUCGGGUUGUAAACUCCUUUCAGCCAUGACGAAGCCCUUGUGGUGACGGUAGUGGUAGAAGAAGCACCGGCUAACUACGUG